GCUUCAACUACAGCAUAUGGAAGUUCCUGGGCUAGGGUUUAAAUUGGAGCUGCAGCUGCUGGCCUAAGCCACAGCCACGCAACAAUGCUGAAUCCUUAACCUACUGAGGGAGGCCAGGGAUUGAUCCGGCAUCCUGAUGGACACUGUAUCAGAUUCUUAACCUCCUGAGCCACAACACGAACUCCACUUUGCUGGAACUUUUAUAUGGAGUCUCUGACUACACUUUUAAAAGGCCUCUCAGGGCUAGGAAAGUCAUGCCAAGGGCUUGUUACAGAUCUCACCUUAGGGAUUUAGGUGAAUUCCUCCCUUUUUAAGGUCCUCAAAAUACCUUGAGAUUCCUCCACCUAUUAGGAGGUGUAGUCUUUCUCAUUUACCUGAUAAAGCUGCUGGGAACUUUCUAUCUGGAGCAAUCAGAUAGAAAAAGUAAAUGUUUCAAUUCCGCUUACAAGGGUAUAAUUUGCCAAACUGAUGAAAGUAAUAAUUAACUUGAGAAGAAGGCUUUCCUUAUAUCUGGAAAAUGAAGAUUAAAACCAGUAAUUUUUCCAUAAAACUUAUAAAAAUUAUAACCAGAGUCACCAGUUCACUCAGUCCUAUGUAACUAAUCCUUUUUGUUAACACUUCUAUGAAGCUUAAUUUCUUACCCAGUUCGGUGUUAUGGACUGAACACUCAGAAACUUGUACUUUUCAAAAAGUCCUUUCAAUAAAUCUUCUUGAAGAGGAAACAUUUUUGCAAAGGAAUCAGAAUAAAACUAUAACUGUCUAUAAUGGAAAAAAUACUUGAGAAGGCACAUUUAAAGUCUGAUUACAAUGCAAUUGACAAACUUGGUUACUGCUGUGACAUACAAUAUUUUAAGAUAAUAACUAGAAUUAUGACUGAUAACAUUUUUCAGGACAUACCAUAUUUUUAGGAAUUCUAUAUAAUUUCUAGAAUAUCUAUAUUAAUAACAUCUUCCCAUACAAUAUAAACUAAGAUUUAUUACUCAUUUGACAAUACUUCCCAUGUAAUUUAACAUACCAAAUGAGACUAAUUAAUAUCUCUCUUUGGGGUAGUUCAGGGGCCCUUUGAAGCAUCCCAAAGUUAGCUAGAGGUCAAAGGAACUUCAUUAGAAUUUGAUGUGGGAAGCUUUGUCAAAAAAUGACAAAAAGUUUUAAAACAAUUGGUCAGAUAAGAAGAUCGGUCACUGGGAAACAAUUGUUACUCACUUAGCCAAAGUGACAAUAAAAGAUUUCAAAGACAAAUACAUAUCAGAUCAUUUAAAAGGUAAAGAAACCUAAAAUAUUAUCAAAAGCCAUUCGACAUUUUAAGAAAUGUCUCUUAGAGUUCCUGUCGUGGCGCAGUGGUUAACGAGUCCGACUAGGAACCACGAGGUUGCGGGUUCGAUCGCUGGCCUUGCUCAGUGGGUUAAGGAUCUGGCGUUGCCAAACACUAAACAAGAAGACAGAACACCAGCAUAACAAACCAUCUGCAGACUGAGACUGGCCCACAGCCCACCCAUUUGCAGUCUCUGUUGUAGAACAACAGCCAGGCUUUCCGCUGAGGGCCCCUGCCUUUCAAGAGGGUCUGACUCACCUUCCAAUCAAUGGAAAAUACACACCCCAGAAACUGUGAAGUGCAUGGCUCCUAAGGUCUGUACAUUCCUGGAAUAGCUUCAGAUGUGUUCUCCAAGUGUGUGGCACUCUACCGGAAACCUGAUCGCUGUUCAUGCAGUAGAGGUGGAUUUGCUGUGAAGCUGAAGAAAGUGAAGCUUAAAUAAGCCCUGAAGCUCAUUUGAAAUGUUACAUUGUCUUUCUUAAUGGGUUCCCCCAAAACUGUGUAAGCUUGGGGCUCCCCAAAGAUGAAUCUGCCCCUGUCCUAUUGAUACUACUGUUUUUCAGGCCAAACUCACAGCCAAAUCUAUUGCUUUAGCAGCUGACCCCACUGCUAAAGAAUCCAGACUUAACAGAGAUUUCUCUUCCAGACAACCAUAGGUGCCAGACAGGAUGCCUGUAAAAUCACCAGAGUGCUUUCCAAGUCUUAAAAUAGUAAAAGCACUAUGUCUAAUGAUAGUGCAUGAUUCUGCAUCGUGUCUAGUUCAUUUAGGGCACCAAUUAAAUGUGUAGAAAGGAUGAUUAUGAUUCUUGGUGGUAACAGGAGCUAUAGUUUGUAAACAUUUGGGUAUAAACAAUGGAGUGACAACUUAGAAUUAACCUGACCUCUUAGGGGACACUGGGUGGCCUAUCACCCAGGCAGCACAGUGAUCAGGCUCUCCAGAAAAGCUCAAGUCUAUCCCACCGCCCUGGGAAGGGGAAGUGGCAAUCACGAAUGAGAGCCCUGUUUUUAAGGGUUCUGAGGAGUUUUAUGGGAUCUUUUCUAUUGAUGUAACUGUUUCUUGGAGAGUGAUUUCACCCGGAAGAAUCUGGGAAUCCUAUGAAGCAACAGAGUGACUUUUUUUUCUUCAUUGGAAGAUAAAUUUUCUAAGACCCUGAGAAGGUGUGGCCAUGUGAAAGGAAAUGGAACCUCCACUGUGAUUUUCUCCCAGGUUAGCUGCCUGCACACUGGGGAACAUGCAUUCCUGGGGUACACAGAGAUUUUCCAGGAGGCACACAGGUAGGGAUGGCUUAAAUGGAAUCCAUUUCCAGAAAUUCAACUUCCGUUUUUACGCAUGCCAAGCCUGUGGACUGCCAAUUAUCCAUUCUCACCUGCCUUACGCAAGGGCGCUGUACAUUAUGGGAAAAAAGACGGACCUAUGGCCUACCCUGCAUUUUACUCUGGUUCAUCAUUUACAAGUGUAAAACCUCUAGGGCAUUAAACAAAAUGACCACUGGAGGAUGCAGCCCUCCUGAGGGAGAGUCAGGAGAGCAAAGAAGAGAGCAUCAGUAAGAAAUAUUCAUGUGGGCAAAGCCUUCCUUCCAUCCAGGAGCCCUGGUAGGGUUCCUUUCUACCUAAGAAUUAGCACAUGCAUUUAUCUGCAUUUUAAAAUAAAGGCAGACUUUUUUUCUGACUGAAUGUGUGGUUUGGCUAUUUGUCUGGCUUGACCACAAGAACUGACUUUGCCAGUUAGAUUAUAUGGCAGGUUUUUUCCGUAUAUUAAAUGAGUUAAACCUACAACUAUAAGGCUCACAUAAAAUAUAGUUAAAGCAUAUACAGAAGAAAAAAUACAUCCUUUGCAAUAUUUAAAUUUGUGAUAAAAAUGUAGAUGUCAACUUAAAAAUGAAAUCAGAUCUAGAGUUUUAUAAAAUUAUUUCAGGACGUACAUGAACCAAAAGGAGCACUGACUUAGGCAAACCUACUUACCUCAGUUUAAUAAGUUUUUAAAUAGUGUUGAGUACUUACUAUAUUUAAAACAUUACAGGUGAACAGAACACAGGCCCUAUUCCUAUGCUGCCUAUAAUCCGGUUAGGAGAUCAAGACAGUUAAUACAAGACAGAAUUCAGUCAGUGGGACAUGGGAAUACUGGAGUAUGUAGGGUGUAGAAAUGGUUGGAGGCAGUCAGAAGCCAUCCUGGAUAAGGAGCAUUUUAGUUGGGUUUUGAAGGAUGGGUAGGAUUUCAAGAGGUAGAAGAGGUAUAAUGGAUGGAACUGUAUGAGGAAAGUCAUUUAAGAAAUUUGGAGGUAUAUUAGAGAAAUAAUGAAUUAAUCUACACUUUGGCUGAGACUGAGAGUAAAGGGAAAGAGAGAGGAGAGGAGAGGAAAGAAAAAACAGAGUUAGGGCCAAACAGAUCACAAAUGCCAUUAGUGAGCAGUGGAGAGUCCUUAGAGGUUUCUGAGCAAAGAAAGAUGAAAUCAGCACUUGGCUCUGGAAGGAAGUCCUGGCAAUCCCGUCCAGGGGCAGUGGAGGUGGAAGACACCCUGGCAGGAACUAACAUCUGUCCAGGGGAGAGAUAAGAAGACCUGAGCUUCUGAAUGGAGCCAAGAAAUAGUCAGG
This 3904-nucleotide long non-coding RNA is filed under the name Sus scrofa (pig). RNAcentral describes it as "lncRNA (ENSSSCG00040046342.1)". Lineage: Eukaryota; Metazoa; Chordata; Mammalia; Artiodactyla; Suidae. The record is from RNAcentral.